GCGGCAGGCCUAACACAUGCAAGUCGAGCGGUAGCACAGAGAGCUUGCUCUCGGGUGACGAGCGGCGGACGGGUGAGUAAUGUCUGGGAAACUGCCUGAUGGAGGGGGAUAACUACUGGAAACGGUAGCUAAUACCGCAUAACGUCGCAAGACCAAAGUGGGGGACCUUCGGGCCUCAUGCCAUCAGAUGUGCCCAGAUGGGAUUAGCUAGUAGGUGGGGUAACGGCUCACCUAGGCGACGAUCCCUAGCUGGUCUGAGAGGAUGACCAGCCACACUGGAACUGAGACACGGUCCAGACUCCUACGGGAGGCAGCAGUGGGGAAUAUUGCACAAUGGGCGCAAGCCUGAUGCAGCCAUGCCGCGUGUGUGAAGAAGGCCUUCGGGUUGUAAAGCACUUUCAGCGGGGAGGAAGGCGAUAAGGUUAAUAACCUUGUCGAUUGACGUUACCCGCAGAAGAAGCACCGGCUAACUCCGUGCCAGCAGCCGCGGUAAUACGGAGGGUGCAAGCGUUAAUCGGAAUUACUGGGCGUAAAGCGCACGCAGGCGGUCUGUCAAGUCGGAUGUGAAAUCCCCGGGCUCAACCUGGGAACUGCAUUCGAAACUGGCAGGCUAGAGUCUUGUAGAGGGGGGUAGAAUUCCAGGUGUAGCGGUGAAAUGCGUAGAGAUCUGGAGGAAUACCGGUGGCGAAGGCGGCCCCCUGGACAAAGACUGACGCUCAGGUGCGAAAGCGUGGGGAGCAAACAGGAUUAGAUACCCUGGUAGUCCACGCCGUAAACGAUGUCGAUUUGGAGGUUGUGCCCUUGAGGCGUGGCUUCCGGAGCUAACGCGUUAAAUCGACCGCCUGGGGAGUACGGCCGCAAGGUUAAAACUCAAAUGAAUUGACGGGGGCCCGCACAAGCGGUGGAGCAUGUGGUUUAAUUCGAUGCAACGCGAAGAACCUUACCUGGUCUUGACAUCCACAGAACUUUCCAGAGAUGGAUUGGUGCCUUCGGGAACUGUGAGACAGGUGCUGCAUGGCUGUCGUCAGCUCGUGUUGUGAAAUGUUGGGUUAAGUCCCGCAACGAGCGCAACCCUUAUCCUUUGUUGCCAGCGGUCCGGCCGGGAACUCAAAGGAGACUGCCAGUGAUAAACUGGAGGAAGGUGGGGAUGACGUCAAGUCAUCAUGGCCCUUACGACCAGGGCUACACACGUGCUACAAUGGCAUAUACAAAGAGAAGCGACCUCGCGAGAGCAAGCGGACCUCAUAAAGUAUGUCGUAGUCCGGAUUGGAGUCUGCAACUCGACUCCAUGAAGUCGGAAUCGCUAGUAAUCGUAGAUCAGAAUGCUACGGUGAAUACGUUCCCGGGCCUUGUACACACCGCCCGUCACACCAUGGGAGUGGGUUGCAAAAGAAGUAGGUAGCUUAACCUUCGGGAGGGCGCUUACCACUUU
This 1432-nucleotide ribosomal RNA is filed under the name Klebsiella pneumoniae. RNAcentral's name for it is "bacterial SSU rRNA". It matches the Rfam family "Bacterial small subunit ribosomal RNA". Lineage: Bacteria; Pseudomonadati; Pseudomonadota; Gammaproteobacteria; Enterobacterales; Enterobacteriaceae. The record is from RNAcentral.